This 72-nucleotide transfer RNA is filed under the name Perca fluviatilis (European perch). It matches the Rfam family "tRNA". Rfam says of the family: Transfer RNA (tRNA) molecules are approximately 80 nucleotides in length. Their secondary structure includes four short double-helical elements and three loops (D, anti-codon, and T loops). Lineage: Eukaryota; Metazoa; Chordata; Actinopteri; Perciformes; Percidae. The record is from Rfam by way of RNAcentral.
GCGAUGGUGGUAUAGUGGUGAGCAUAGCUCCCUUCCAAGCAGUUGCCCUGGGGUCGAUUCCCAUCCAUUGCA